This 497-nucleotide ribosomal RNA is filed under the name uncultured bacterium. Its description in RNAcentral is "partial 16S ribosomal RNA". It matches the Rfam family "Bacterial small subunit ribosomal RNA", at positions 29 to 507 of the family's 1533-position model. The record is from RNAcentral.
UAUGCACGCUGGCGGCGUGCCUAAUACAUGCAAGUCGAGCGAACAGAUAAGGAGCUUGCUCCUUUGACGUUAGCGGCGGACGGGUGAGUAACACGUGGGUAACCUACCUAUAAGACUGGAAUAACUCCGGGAAACCGGGGCUAAUGCCGGAUAACAUUUAGAACCGCAUGGUUCUAAAGUGAAAGAUGGUUUUGCUAUCACUUAUAGAUGGACCCGCGCCGUAUUAGCUAGUUGGUAAGGUAACGGCUUACCAAGGCAACGAUACGUAGCCGACCUGAGAGGGUGAUCGGCCACACUGGAACUGAGACACGGUCCAGACUCCUACGGGAGGCAGCAGUAGGGAAUCUUCCGCAAUGGGCGAAAGCCUGACGGAGCAACGCCGCGUGAGUGAUGAAGGUCUUCGGAUCGUAAAACUCUGUUAUUAGGGAAGAACAAAUGUGUAAGUAACUGUGCACGUCUUGACGGUACCUAAUCAGAAAGCCACGGCUAACUACGUG